This 599-nucleotide ribosomal RNA is filed under the name Punctelia pseudocoralloidea. RNAcentral's name for it is "SSU rRNA". It matches the Rfam family "Bacterial small subunit ribosomal RNA", at positions 359 to 976 of the family's 1533-position model. The record is from RNAcentral. Lineage: Eukaryota; Fungi; Ascomycota; Lecanoromycetes; Lecanorales; Parmeliaceae.
GANGUAUGCNCUAGCUACUUGCAUCAUUGCUACAGAUGAUGCAAGAUCGACUAUGUUGAAUAAAAUUCUAGGUAGAAUUAUGAUAAUGACAUUGUCUGCCUAUGUGUCUUGACCAAAUUACGUGCCAGCAGUCGCGGUAAUACGUAGAAGACUAGUGUUAUUCAUGUUUAAUCGGUUUAAAGGGUACCUAGACGGUAGAUCAAGCUUUUACAUAUAAAUUAUGAUAAUUAAAGGACUAAUUUACUAGAGUUACUUACGAGGGGGCAUUAAAGUACUGCUGGUGUAGAGAUGAAAUUCUGUCAUACCUCUUUUCGAAAGAAAAAUCAUGGCACAGGUAUAGGCGAAGGCAUCCCCUUAUGUGAUAACUGACGUUGAGGGACGAAGGCUUUGUGUAACAAACAGGAUUAGAUACCCUAGUAGUUGAAGCAGAAAAUGAUGAAUGUCAUAGAUUAGAUAUAUAAGUUUAUUCUAUAAAUGAAAGUGUAAGCAUUCCACCUCAUGAGUAAUUUGGCAACAUUGGAACUGAAAUCAUUAGACCGUUUCUGAAACCAGUAGUGAAGUAUGUUGUUUAAUUUGAUGAUCCGCAAAAAACCUUACCA